Molecule: ribosomal RNA, 369 nt
Filed under: uncultured phototrophic eukaryote
Lineage: Eukaryota
Description: SSU rRNA
Rfam family: Bacterial small subunit ribosomal RNA
Source: RNAcentral
UACGGGGGAUGCAAGCGUUAUCCGGAAUCAUUGGGCGUAAAGCGCCUGUAGGUUGUUUAAUAAGUUUGUUGUUAAAGACUAGGGCUCAACCCUAGAAAAGCAAUGAAAACUACUAGACUAGAGUAUGGCAGGGGUAGAGGGAAUUUCUAGUGUAGCGGUGAAAUGCGUAGAUAUUAGAAAGAACACCGGUGGCGAAAGCGCUCUACUGGACCAUUACUGACACUCAGAGGCGAAAGCUAGGGUAGCAAAAGGGAUUAGAUACCCCUGUAGUCCUAGCCGUAAACGAUGGAUACUAGAUGUUGGAUAUUAUGUUCAGUAUCGUAGCUAACGCGUUAAGUAUCCCGCCUGGGGAGUACGCUCGCAAGGGUG